CCUACGGGUGGCAGCAGUGGGGAAUAUUGCACAAUGGGGGAAACCCUGAUGCAGCGACGCCGCGUGAGUGAAGAAGUAUUUCGGUAUGUAAAGCUCGAGCAGCAGGGAAGAAAAUGACGGUACCUGACUAAGAAGCCCCGGCUAACGACGUGCCAGUAGCCGCGGUAAUACGUAGGGGGCAAGCGUCAUCCGGAUUGACUGGGAGUAAAGGGAGCGUAGACGGCCAGACAAGUCAGAAGUGAAAGCCAAGGGCUCCACUCGGGGACUGCUUUUGAAACUGCCGGGCUGGAGGGCAGGAGAGGUAAGCGGAAUUCCUAGUGUAGCGGUUAAAUGCGUAGAUAUUAGGAGGAACCCCAGUGGCGAAGGCGGCUUACUGGACUGUACCUGCCGUUGCGGCUCG
RNAcentral lists this ribosomal RNA (400 nucleotides) under uncultured bacterium. RNAcentral describes it as "partial 16S ribosomal RNA". It matches the Rfam family "Bacterial small subunit ribosomal RNA", at positions 338 to 755 of the family's 1533-position model. The record is from RNAcentral.